CGAAUCGCUAUAAAGACUGAUGAUUCAACUGAGCGCGAUAAUCCAAUUAAUUAUUAUUUCUGCAAUUACGUUUGCACGAGACAAUAUACGGGGAAGAUAAUCACUUGAAUAAAUUGAGUAAGUUAAUCGAGAGACGAUGUAAGUGCAGGAUACGAUUGUUUAAAUUUUUCUAUUAAUAUCACUCCCAGAUGUACGAUCGGAUCUAUAUUUGGCUUUAUUUUAUCGAUCAUUUGAAUUAACUUUGAUAACAUUCAAAACCCCAAUGCUGAUAUUCUCCGUAUAUUUUACGCGAUAACAAUGCCGAUGGGUUUCCCAUGUGAUCUAACGAUUGAUUAUUUCCCCUCCAACAAGGGACUUAGCCAAUUCAGCUCCCUCACAGGAAGCGACGACAAUUUCAAUUUACAAUUUGUUUAAAGAGCCUUACGUGACAUAUAGAAAGAUAGAGAAAAUUACGUAGAAGCAAAUCUUCAGCCGUAGCAAGGAUAAAAUUUUGUUUUCUUUUUAAGCAUGUUUAUAAUCAUUCUACUUGCCAGACUUUAUGGUGGUACUAGUGCUUGCCAAUAUUUCUCUUUCUGGAGAUAACAAUUCAAGAAGUAUGUGCGCUGGUGGUUCUAAAUUGUGCAGAGACAAACAUCCGCUUUCGGUCUCCCCGGCUAAAAAUCUUUUUGGUGCCGUGAACACAUAUCCUCUGUAAAAAAUAAAAAGAAACAACGCAAAAAAAUUAA
This is a long non-coding RNA of Vespa mandarinia (Asian giant hornet), 725 nucleotides long. The record is from RefSeq and is a predicted model, not a curated record. NCBI's taxonomy places the organism in Eukaryota, Metazoa, Arthropoda, Insecta, Hymenoptera, Vespidae.